CAGCCAGGAAGCACUUGUUGCUCUUCUAAACUCCACGGCACCAGAGAUGAAGUCACCUUUCUUCUUUUAAAAGCAACAGAUCUGCCCUGUGAGUCCCUGUCACGUCUGUGGGAACUCGGUGUUUUUUCCACAGCUGGGCACCAGGACCUUCCCUCAGGAAUCCUGUGCCCAGGGUGCUCCAGAAACGUCAAGUUUACCAUUUUUCAGAUGCCAUCACUGUGGUAGGACAAUCAGGGUGAAGGAUAACAUGAUUCUUGAGAGCGAAGUGUAACUAUCACCACAAUCAAGAUACAAAACUGUAUCAUCACCACAUGGCUCUCUUGCACUAUCCCUUUGCAUCCACCCCCUUCAUCCCUAACCCUCUGAAACCAUUAAUCUGUAGUCCAUCUGUAUAAUUUUAUUUCAGGAGCAUUAUAUAAAUGGAAUCAUGAGUAUUUACAUGCAUGAGAUUGACUUUUUCCACUCGGCAUAAUUUUCUUAAGAUCUAUCCAAGUUGUUGUUGCAUGUAUCAAUAGUUGGUUCUUUUUUUACUCUUGAGUAGUAAUCCACAGCAUGGUUGUAGCAAAGUUUGUUUAAUCUUUUGCCCAUUUACCCAUUGGAGGAUAUCUGGGUAAUUUCCAGUUUGGGACUACUACAAAUAAAGCUGCCAUAAGCAUUUGUAUGCAAGUUUCUGCAUGAACAUUAAUUGUUAUUUCUCUGGGAUAAAUGCCUGAGAGUACAAUAUCUGGGUCUCAUGCUUUAUUGAGGUAUGAUUGACAAAUAAGAAUAUAUAUUUAAGGAGAUUCCCUUUGAUCAGAGAGCUGCACAUACAAGAGACUUGCUGCAAGCAUGGACCUCAGUGAAAAAUGGCCUUUGGAGGAAGGAACCUGGCUGUCUCAUGCUGGAAUUCAUCAUUUUGCCAACACCAGAGGGGGUAUGGCUGCUUUUGCUGUCCCUGAUAAACGCGGUCCUCUUCAACUCCUGCACCCAUUGUGUCAACCCAGCUGUACUCUGUACGUGCCCAGCGCUGUUUGCCUUUUCACAGAAGCAGCAGGGUGGAGAGGAGAGGGCAUGGACUUUGGUGUCAGACAGACCUGGGUUGAGAUCUGGAAUUUCCUUCUUAUAAGCUAUGUGGCCUUAAGAAAAUCGAUCGUUUCCUCAGCUCUAACAUGAGAGUAAGAAUGCCUACGUGUAGGGUUGUGAUAAGCAGCACUGAGUAAUGUAAGCUGUCAUUGACUGAGCCCUUACCCUAGCUCGGUGGGAAGUUAGUCACAUAUCUUUGAACCCCUAACAUGUGUCAGGCACUAUUUUCUGGCCCGUCUCCCCCCUCCUCCCCUCUCCUCUCCUCUCCACGGCCCUGCAAAGAUUAAAAUUGAGGAUAAUGCAACUGGUAUAAACAAACAGUCUAGGUCAGCUCAACUUCCUUCUGGUUCUGUGUCCUAGCAUCUGAUUAAUGCAACUCAGCAUUAAUUGAUGGGGAUGUUGUUUACUGUCCUGGCGUGGAGCAUCCAAGUGUAAGAGUCACAACCCUGACACAGAGCAGUGGUCCUCUUUCAGGUCUAAGAGUCUGCCCCAUCACCCAUCCCCCAGAUCUAAUGGAGAUCCACUUGGGUGGUAAGAGUCAUUCUAUGGAUGGGAGAGCAAAGGCCACUGAAGUUAACGCACUCACAUGAUGUUUUUAGAGAGGGUAUGCCUCCCAUUUGUUGUUGUUUAUUCAUUCACUCAAUAAAUAUUGAGCACCUACUAUGUGCCAAGCACUGGGAAUACAAAAAAGAGAGUAAGAUAGACACGGAGAUCACCAGACUACACUCUCUACUGUGCCCCAUCUCUAAAAUGGGGUAACUUAUACAGCAAUAAACAUUUACUGAGCUUCUGCACUGCAUCAGGGUACAUCUUCCAACCAAGACAACUGCACACAAUGGGAGAUUCCCCGAAGGGAAGCUUGAUAUUCUAAGAGAGGACACUUGGAUGCAGUCCAGACAAAAACCAAUAGCUGUUCACUCCUGUGCCCUGUCGCAUUGCCACCCUAGUCACUUUUAGAGGUCCUUAAGACAAUGUCUUCUCACAGCCCAGUCCAUGGAAUAAAGUUGAACUUCCUCAGCUCAACAUGCAGCCUUCCUUUCCUGAUCUGACCCCUGCCUGCCUCUCUAGACUCAUCUCCUGCUUCUCCUAAAAACAAACCCCUUUCUCAUCACUGUAUCGA
Molecule: long non-coding RNA, 2182 nt
Organism: Physeter macrocephalus (sperm whale)
Lineage: Eukaryota; Metazoa; Chordata; Mammalia; Artiodactyla; Physeteridae
Exons: 5
Source: RefSeq, a predicted model, not a curated record